Molecule: long non-coding RNA, 359 nt
Filed under: Sus scrofa (pig)
Lineage: Eukaryota; Metazoa; Chordata; Mammalia; Artiodactyla; Suidae
Description: lncRNA (ENSSSCG00065039360.1)
Source: RNAcentral
ACAGCAAGGGACAGGAACCCAGCAAGGGACAGGAACCCAGCAAGGGACAGCGUUAACCCCGAGCAGAAAAAGUUUGCAGACCCCUGCUACAGUGUCAGCACAUUCCUGUGUGCUAUCUUUGAAUGAAAUGGAGAAGGAUGCUCCAGAGUAGCCACGAAGAAAAUUUGAGUUGCAGUGUUCCACAGGGUGGGUGCGGAUCUCCGUGGAUGCCUCCAGAAACUAGGCAGUUAUUCUAGUUCUUUUUCCCCGUCCCACUCCCUAACUUUAAAAAUGAUGACUCCAAAUAUCACAGAAUGGCCUACAUAGUUCCCUGAAACAGCUGUCCUGCAGAAUCAUGAAAACUUGGGCUAAAAAUAGUC